UUCUUUUGGAGAGUUUGAUCCUGGCUCAGGACGAACGCUGGCGGCGUGCCUAAUACAUGCAAGUCGAGCGGACCAAAUCGG
This 81-nucleotide ribosomal RNA is filed under the name Anoxybacteroides amylolyticum. RNAcentral describes it as "Anoxybacillus amylolyticus partial 16S ribosomal RNA". It matches the Rfam family "Bacterial small subunit ribosomal RNA", at positions 1 to 79 of the family's 1533-position model. Lineage: Bacteria; Bacillati; Bacillota; Bacilli; Caryophanales; Anoxybacillaceae. The record is from RNAcentral.